GAAACAAACUGCUGUCUGGAAAGCUUUUUGGACGCCAAACAAACUGAGAUGGUUGUGCUCUGAGGAACAUAAAGCAGUCUGAAGUAAACAGUCGCACACAGACGCAACAACUACAGUAUCUUCAGGAUGCAAAGCCAUACAGGCGCUGUCAGUUCCCUUCUACUGGGGGGCAAGAAAACCUCCCUUUGAGCUGUGGUGACAGGGUUACAUGGGAGGGUUUGGUUGCUCUUCAGUUCAGAAGCCAUCACUGCCAGCACCUGCAACUUGCUGCUCUGCACCUUCUGCUCUGACCACUGGUGAGAGAAGUCACUCCUUCCUUCUCUUGCUCUUAAGAUCCCUCUUAAGUCCUGCAGGGUAACACCUGCUUGGCUGCCACAGAGGUGUCUGGGUCUCCUGGUGCCUUUAUGGAUACUCACCACUCAUGCAGGGUCUUCAGGGAGAAGAUGAAGAAAUC
This 454-nucleotide long non-coding RNA is filed under the name Homo sapiens (human). RNAcentral describes it as "HMGA2 antisense RNA 2 (HMGA2-AS2)". The record is from RNAcentral. Lineage: Eukaryota; Metazoa; Chordata; Mammalia; Primates; Hominidae.